Molecule: ribosomal RNA, 607 nt
Filed under: uncultured Chaetothyriomycetidae
Lineage: Eukaryota; Fungi; Ascomycota; Eurotiomycetes
Description: SSU rRNA
Rfam family: Eukaryotic small subunit ribosomal RNA
Source: RNAcentral
GGGGAACCAGGACUUUUACUUUGAAAAAAUUAGAGUGUUCAAAGCAGGCCUUUGCUCGAAUACAUUAGCAUGGAAUAAUGGAAUAGGACGGCGCUCCUAUUUUGUUGGUUUCUAGGAGAGCCGUAAUGAUUAAUAGGGACAGUUGGGGGCAUCCGUAUUCAGUUGUCAGAGGUGAAAUUCUUGGAUUUACUGAAGACGAACUACUGCGAAAGCAUUUGCCAAAAGAUGUUUUCAUUAAUCAGUGAACGAAAGUUAGGGGAUCGAAGACGAUCAGAUCCCGUCGUAGUCUUAACCAUAAACCAUGCCGACUAGGGAUCGGGCGAUGUUAGUUUAUUGACUCGCUCGGCACCUUUCGAGAAAUCAAAGUGUUUGGGUUCUGGGGGGAGUAUGGUCGCAAGGUUGAAACUUAAAGAAAUUUGACGGAAGGGCACCACCAGGAGUGGAGCCUGCGGYUUAAUUUGACCCAACACGGGGGAACUCACCAGGUCCAGAUACACGUAGGAUUGACAGAUUGAGAGCUCUUUCUUGAUUGUGUAGUUGGUGGUGCAUGGCCCGUUCUUAGUUGGUGGAGUGAUUUGUCUGCUUAAUUGCGAUAACGAACGAGACC